GGUUGGUGGGUUACCGCAGAACGAGGGGAGAGGAGAGGGGAGGGGAGGAGGGCGGCGGCCGGAUAGGCCGCCGAGUGACGGCUCCGCGGUGGUGGGCUCGGCGUGCGGCUCUGCUCUGCGGCGGCCGUGGAGGGCGCGGGCUGCUCUGGGCCUCGCGGGAGGUGGAGCGGCGGCCCUGGGGGUGAGGUCGCCGGCGGGCCUCGUGGUGGCUUGCGUGGGGGGCUCGGAUCCAGAGCCUGGGUGGAUCUGGCCCUCCCUUCAGGCGUGGUGCUUCGCCGCGGGGAGGUGCCCCGGCGGCCAGCGGCGGAGUUGUGUUUGUGCAGCAGCAUGCUCACUCCCCUUGGAGCUUGGCGGCGACCAUGAUGGUGGAGCACUGGCUAAUCCCAAAAUCCAAUUGAAUGCAUGCUGUUUGAUGUAAUUCUCCCAGAACUUCAUCUCGAAGGCAAGGAGUGAUUAGCCACCCCCAGGUGGGUUUCCAUGUCCUGAACUGAUAUGCUGUUGUAUCCUGAUUUUCAAUGUCUAUGUUGCUGACCUCCUUGAUGAUUCACGGCCUUUGAGCCAUUUUUAACAGCUAUGUCUAACCAUUUCUGUCUGAGAUACUGUCAUGUGAGUUAAAAUACUCCACAAAUUGCUCACAUGUGCUUUUGCUACUUCGGAUUGUUUUCUGGGAACCAAAGAUGGCAAAAUCUCAAAAUAUCCUGUGUUUUCCUAUGUUGGAGUACUUGAAGUAUCCGUCUUUCGAAAGUAUGACCAGUUCAAUUUUCUGUGCACAGUAUUUUUUCCUCUUGCCAAUGCAGUGAAAAGGAAAGGUUCAGUUAUGGGUUUGCAGGUUGUGCUGUGAACAGGGCAUCAAUGGACGACUCUGAGACAAGGGUUGAUGAUGUUCAUGAAUUGGGGUUCAAAAGAACAUUAUCAAUUGUUCAGGUUUUUCAUAUUUGCGUCAGAUGAUAAUGAUGUUUGCUGCAUCGCACCCUUUCAGCAAUAGCCGUUUCGAGGGAUCACAAACCUUACCAAACAGAGAGACAGAGAAUUAUAGAAGCUGCAGGCUUUGUGAGGUGGGCUGGGACGUGGUGUGUUGCUGGUGUUCGUGCUGUUUCUCGAGCAUCUGGUGAUAAACUUACAAAGCAGAAGCUGUUGCCAUGGUCAAGCCAAUAGAGGAUCCUGAGCAUGCUGCAAAGGGACUGGUUCAAGAAGCUUCCCAAAGAGCAAACGCCGACACAUGACCGUUGUCAUUUGUGCCCAAAGGAUGGAACAACGUUGACUGGUGAUGUACCGAGUGGCGAGUGAGGAGGUUGCCAACGAACUAAUCUUGAUAAUUGUUCUUGUUCUUCCGUGGUGCUGUAUCUGCUGUUGUAUAUGAUGCUCGAACAAGAUGUCAUGUGGCGGCGGCACCCUCCCCUGCUGCGAAACCAAACUGACUUGGCCUGAGUUUACAGUUUAGCCUUGGUUCCAUCCUCCUAGCUAUCCUAGAUGGUAGGUGAUGUCGGAGCAGAGGGGUACUUUUCUUCUUCUUGCUGAACCUUACACUGCGCAGCUUCUAUGCUGGUGCUUCAUGCUAGUGAUUUUUAUCAUCAGUAAUGUAAAGGCAUGCUUGAAUGAUUUUAACAAAGUUGCUCUGCCUGUGAUGUCA
Molecule: RNA transcript, 1630 nt
Organism: Triticum aestivum (bread wheat)
Lineage: Eukaryota; Viridiplantae; Streptophyta; Magnoliopsida; Poales; Poaceae
Exons: 4
Source: RefSeq, a predicted model, not a curated record